RNAcentral lists this ribosomal RNA (497 nucleotides) under uncultured bacterium. Its description in RNAcentral is "partial 16S ribosomal RNA". It matches the Rfam family "Bacterial small subunit ribosomal RNA", at positions 28 to 507 of the family's 1533-position model. The record is from RNAcentral.
GAUGAACGCUGGCGGCGUGCCUAAUACAUGCAAGUCGAGCGAACAGACGAGGAGCUUGCUCCUCUGACGUUAGCGGCGGACGGGUGAGUAACACGUGGAUAACCUACCUAUAAGACUGGGAUAACUUCGGGAAACCGGAGCUAAUACCGGAUAAUAUAUUGAACCGCAUGGUUCAAUAGUGAAAGACGGUUUUGCUGUCACUUCUAGAUGGAUCCGCGCCGCAUUAGCUAGUUGGUAAGGUAACGGCUUACCAAGGCGACGAUGCGUAGCCGACCGGAGAGGGUGAUCGGCCACACUGGAACUGAGACACGGUCCAGACUCCUACGGGAGGCAGCAGUAGGGAAUCUUCCGCAGUGGGCGAAAGCCUGACGGAGCAACGCCGCGUGAGUGAUGAAGGUCUUCGGAUCGUAAAACUCUGUUAUUAGGGAAGAACAAAUGUGUAAGUAACUAUGCACGUCUUGACGGUACCUAAUCAGAAAGCCACGGCUAACUACGUG